CAUGUAGGCGGCCCAGCAAGCGUCCUGUGAAAUCCCUCGGCUCAACCGAGGAAUUGCGUGGCGAACUGCUGGACUUGAGGCAGGUAGGGGCGUGUGGAACUCUUGGUGGAGCGGUGAAAUGCGUAGAUAUCAGUUGGAACGCCGGCGGCGAAAGCGAGUCACUGGGCCUGUCCUGACGCUGAGACGCGAAAGCGUGGGUAGCGAACAGGAUUAGAUACCCUGGUAGUCC
This 229-nucleotide ribosomal RNA is filed under the name uncultured bacterium. Its description in RNAcentral is "partial 16S ribosomal RNA". It matches the Rfam family "Bacterial small subunit ribosomal RNA", at positions 568 to 796 of the family's 1533-position model. The record is from RNAcentral.